CGAGAAGGGGUUUUUAAGAAGAGAUUUGGUGGCAUAGGCUCUGCGCUUAUGAAUGAAUGAAUGCUUUCAUCACAACAGUCUGUACAUGCAUAGAGGGAAGGUCUGCAGUCCGCUGACUAUGUUUACCUCAAGGAAAUUGGCCUGGAGGAAGUAUGGGGUAAGAUCAUUUUUAUUUAUACUAUUUUGAAUUGUGCAAUAUUUGUUCCAAUAACAUGUACUUUGCAAGUGAAAAAAAUCUAAUAAAAACUCAGGAAAGGUAUUUUUACUUUUUUCUUUGUAUCAUAUUCUCUCCAGAAAAGAAUGUGCAUUAAAAAAUGCUUAAAGGCAAGGCCAGGGAUGUAACUCAAUGGCACAGCACCUGCCUGGCAAGCAGAAGGUCCUGAGUUCGAG
RNAcentral lists this long non-coding RNA (390 nucleotides) under Fukomys damarensis (Damara mole-rat). RNAcentral's name for it is "lncRNA (ENSFDAG00000024693.1)". Lineage: Eukaryota; Metazoa; Chordata; Mammalia; Rodentia; Bathyergidae. The record is from RNAcentral.